UUCUGAUUGAUUAAUAAUCAGUAAGGCCUGCUCAAUGAUUUCUUAAAUAGCCGCGAUUUACGUGCUAAGGUAGCAUAAUCAAUUGCCUUCUAAUUAAAGGCUAGAAUGAAAGGCUCUACAUAUAAAAUUCUUUAUUAACAAUAUUUCUUUAAACUAAUUUAUAAAUAAAAAAGUUUAUAUAUUUAAGGAGGACGACAAGACCCUAUCGAGCUUCACUUUCAGUUUCACUGGGGAGGUGGAAUAAAAAGAACUUUUUAUUUUCUAUAUAAAUAUAAUUCAGAAAGAAUAUUGAACUAGUUACCGUAGGGAUAACAGCACAAUUAAUUUUAGAAGAUCUUAUUUUAAAAUUAGAUUAUGACCUCGAUGUUGAAUUAAAGUACCUUUAGGAGAAAAAGCUUAAAAGGAAAGUCUGUUCGACUUUUAAAACUUU
RNAcentral lists this ribosomal RNA (430 nucleotides) under Conothele sp. MYG530. Its description in RNAcentral is "partial 16S ribosomal RNA". It matches the Rfam family "Archaeal large subunit ribosomal RNA", at positions 1908 to 2666 of the family's 2987-position model. Lineage: Eukaryota; Metazoa; Arthropoda; Arachnida; Araneae; Ctenizidae. The record is from RNAcentral.